RNAcentral lists this ribosomal RNA (276 nucleotides) under uncultured bacterium. RNAcentral describes it as "partial 16S ribosomal RNA". It matches the Rfam family "Bacterial small subunit ribosomal RNA", at positions 334 to 606 of the family's 1533-position model. The record is from RNAcentral.
UCCUCCUACGGGGGGCAGCAGUGAGGAAUAUUGGUCAAUGGGCGGAAGCCUGAACCAGCCAAGUCGCGUGAGGGAAUAAGGCCCUACGGGUCGUAAACCUCUUUUGCCGGGGAGCAAGGGCCGGGACGCGUCCCGGCCCGGAGAGUACCCGGAGAAAAAGCAUCAGCUAACUCCGUGCCAGCAGCCGCGGUAAUACGGAGGAUGCGAGCGUUAUCCGGUUUUAUUGGGUUUAAAGGGUGCGUAGGCGGGCUUUUAAGUUAGCGGUAAAAAUUCGGG